CUAAUACUGCAAGUCGAGCGAACAGAUGAGAAGCUUGCUUCUCUGAUGUUAGCGGCGGACGGGUGAGUAACACGUGGGUAACCUACCUAUAAGACUGGGAUAACUCCGGGAAACCGGGGCUAAUACCGGAUAAUAUAUUGAACCGCAUGGUUCAAUGUUGAAAGACGGUUUUGGCUGUCACUUAUAGAUGGACCCGCGCCGUAUUAGCUAGUUGGUAAGGUAACGGCUUACCAAGGCAACGAUACGUAGCCGACCUGAGAGGGUGAUCGGCCACACUGGAACUGAGACACGGUCCAGACUCCUACGGGAGGCAGCAGUAGGGAAUCUUCCGCAAUGGGCGAAAGCCUGACGGAGCAACGCCGCGUGAGUGAUGAAGGUCUUAGGAUCGUAAAACUCUGUUGUUAGGGAAGAAUAAAUUUGUUAGUAACUGAACAAGUCUUGACGGUACCUAACCAGAAAGCCACGGCUAACUACGUGCCAGCAGCCGCGGUAAUACGUAGGUGGCAAGCGUUAUCCGGAAUUAUUGGGCGUAAAGCGCGCGUAGGCGGUUUCUUAAGUCUGAUGUGAAAGCCCACGGCUCAACCGUGGAGGGUCAUUGGAAACUGGGGAACUUGAGUGCAGAAGAGGAGAGUGGAAUUCCAUGUGUAGCGGUGAAAUGCGCAGAGAUAUGGAGGAACACCAGUGGCGAAGGCGGC
Molecule: ribosomal RNA, 695 nt
Filed under: uncultured bacterium
Lineage: Bacteria
Description: bacterial SSU rRNA
Rfam family: Bacterial small subunit ribosomal RNA
Source: RNAcentral